CUCUAGGCUUAAAAAACAGUUGGUUGGAUUCUGACUGGGAGACAAUGAAGGCCCUGGAGAUUUAUUAAUGUCCUCUUUCCCUCACACAAAUUGACUGCAAAUUAUACCUUAGUAAAAGACUCCACUCUCCUCCAUUCUUGUUGAUUAACUAGAACCAUUUGAUCUCAUUAUACACAGAUGACAUUUCUUUUUGCCUUGCAUCGACUCCAAGCUAAAGAUCAGGAAUGCAGUCUUCUGGAAGAAAUAACAACAGAACAUCAACAAAGAGCUGAAUCUGGUGUCUUGACUAUAGUAUACCAGGAUAUGCACCCCGGGUCCAGGUUGCCCUGUGAGCUGACCAUGGACCUUAGAUUGAACCUUACGCAAGAAUACCUUACGCAAGACCAAGUGACUGAGUCAGAAUUCUAGAGUGGUUGUAGUCUGGAUUCGAGAACAAAAAUCAGCAAACUGUGGCUCUUAGGACAAAUCCAACUGGCUGUCAGGUUUUUUAAAUGAAAAUUAAUUGGAACGCAAUCAUGUUCUUUGGGUCACUAUUAUCUAUGACUGCUUUCCUGCUACAAGGACAGAGUUGAACAAGAGACUGAUCAAAAAGCAUACAACUUUGUAGGAGUGGAAUACCUUAUGCAAGACCAACAAAAUAAAAAUUAACAUCUUAGGACUAAAUGGAUGAAAUAAAUGGAAUUCUUU
Molecule: long non-coding RNA, 687 nt
Filed under: Marmota monax (woodchuck)
Lineage: Eukaryota; Metazoa; Chordata; Mammalia; Rodentia; Sciuridae
Source: RNAcentral